Long non-coding RNA from Papaver somniferum (opium poppy), 565 nucleotides. RefSeq lists it as uncharacterized. The transcript is spliced from 2 exons. The record is from RefSeq and is a predicted model, not a curated record. NCBI's taxonomy places the organism in Eukaryota, Viridiplantae, Streptophyta, Magnoliopsida, Ranunculales, Papaveraceae.
CUUCUUAAGUUCUAAACUAAAAAACCUCUGCAACUGAAUAUCCACCUACGUUUCGAGAGAUUUGCAGAAAAUCAAUGAUGGAGAUAAAGGAUUGAGUUGGUUUCUCUUCGCUUCCUUGAUUAGGCAUGCAGUAUUUUUCAUCUCUUUCUCUUCUAAACAACGAAAAUUCCAUCCCUCCAACUGAAUCAAUCACGAAGAAUCUGCAACUGAAUCAGUCACGGAGAUGAAGAAUUGAAUUGUUGUUUUCCCACUUAGUUGGGCUCAUUUGAAGGUUAGGAAGAAGGUAGAUGAACAACGUCAACUAUGCUGCCAGAUAGGAGAGAACGAAAGGGUGGGGUUGGUGGUACCAUUGAUCGGCUUGAGGAGAACUUCAAAAAUUCGAAAUAGCACGUGCAAGAAGAAAGUUAUAUCUAGGGAAAGAAAUGAAACAGUUACUUUUUUAAAGUUGCUAACUUUUUCUGAUGUUGGUCUCAGUUUUGCUAGAAUACAUUACCAAAUUUAUUGUUUGUCUUGCACUCUUACUGUUUUGGCAACUUCGUUUAAUUACAAACUUGAUACAGCUAAA